UCCCUGAUAGCUCAGUUGGUAAAGAAUCUGCCUACAAUCCAGGAGACCCUGGUUCAAUUCCUGGGUUGGGAA
RNAcentral lists this transfer RNA (72 nucleotides) under Bos taurus (domestic cattle). It matches the Rfam family "tRNA". From Rfam's summary of the family: Transfer RNA (tRNA) molecules are approximately 80 nucleotides in length. Their secondary structure includes four short double-helical elements and three loops (D, anti-codon, and T loops). RNAcentral also lists the same sequence under 4 other names. The record is from Rfam by way of RNAcentral. Lineage: Eukaryota; Metazoa; Chordata; Mammalia; Artiodactyla; Bovidae.